Molecule: long non-coding RNA, 368 nt
Organism: Anolis carolinensis (green anole)
Lineage: Eukaryota; Metazoa; Chordata; Lepidosauria; Squamata; Anolidae
Exons: 2
Source: RefSeq, a predicted model, not a curated record
AUGAGAUGCUACUGACCUGAAAAGCCCACACUUAACCAUUUUUAAAUGGACAUUUUUAUGACAGACAUUUGUCCCAAUGACUCACACCAAUAUUGCCGCUAUUCAGCAAAGUUUUGGGUCUUCAUAGCACAACAAUGGCUUCUCCUCAGUCCAUUUGGGGUUCCACAGAACUACAUAAUCCCAGCUGAGAAAGAUUACAACUUCUACAACCAUUUGAACUGCUGCUUGUCAUUUAGCCCACAGGAAGCUUCCCUCAUCAGACUAGGCAGUAUGUAGCUGCCAACAGGAUCAGCAGUCUAAAAAGGUAAGAGAUUGAGAUGUGUACACUCAAAGGUAUAGUAGUUGCCUGAGAAGUACAGUGCUCUCUC